AUCUUGACAUAUGACAGACGAAGGGGUUUGACGAGUUAUCCAUGACCUCCGUCCUGUAGGGAUCCACGAUAGUAGGACUGUAUCACACGAUAACUGCACCUAGAGGUUCAUCAUUCUAUUCUACUGGGUAGCCACUACAUGCUGCUAGGUGUCACUGGUGGAUGGUGGGACUCACAGGGAUUAUCUCGAUGAUCAAUAAACCCUAAUGAGUAGAGUUGGAAUCGUUCCAAUCCAUUGAAAGGA
This 243-nucleotide long non-coding RNA is filed under the name Phoenix dactylifera (date palm). Its description in RNAcentral is "long non-coding RNA (PDAC_LNC010175)". The record is from RNAcentral. Lineage: Eukaryota; Viridiplantae; Streptophyta; Magnoliopsida; Arecales; Arecaceae.